GAUGAACGCUGGCGGCGUGCUUAACACAUGCAAGUCGAACGAGAAAUGGAGACGGAAACCUUCGGGCGGAAGGCUUCAUUUCGAGUGGCGGACGGGUGAGUAACGCGUGGGUAACCUGCCUCAUACAGGGGGAUAACAGUUGGAAACGACUGUUAAUACCGCAUAAGACCACAGCACCGCAUGGUGCGGGGGUAAAAACUCCGGUGGUAUGAGAUGGACCCGCGUUCGAUUAGCCAGUUGGCGGGGUAACGGCCCACCAAAGCGACGAUCGAUAGCCGAUCUGAGAGGAUGACCGGCCACAUUGGGACUGAGACACGGCCCAAACUACUACGGGAGGCAGCAGUGGGGAAUAUUGCACAAUGGGGGAAACCCUGAUGCAGCGACGCCGCGUGAGUGAAGAAGUACUUCGGUAUGUAAAGCUCUAUCAGCAGGGAAGAAAAUGACGGUACCUGAGGAAGAAGCCCCGGCUAACUACGUG
This 478-nucleotide ribosomal RNA is filed under the name uncultured bacterium. RNAcentral's name for it is "partial 16S ribosomal RNA". It matches the Rfam family "Bacterial small subunit ribosomal RNA", at positions 28 to 507 of the family's 1533-position model. The record is from RNAcentral.